GCCUACAGCCAUGCCACCCUGAACAUGCCCGAUCCCAUCUGAUCUUGGAUAUUAAGCAGGGUCGGGUCUGGUAAGUACUUGGAUGGUAGACCACCUAGGAAGACCAGGUGCUAUAAGCA
RNAcentral lists this ribosomal RNA (119 nucleotides) under Pteropus alecto (black flying fox). The record is from RNAcentral. Lineage: Eukaryota; Metazoa; Chordata; Mammalia; Chiroptera; Pteropodidae.